UGCGUUUUGAACUGNUAAGCUAGAGUAUGUCAGAGGGGGGUAGAAUUCCACGUGUAGCAGUGAAAUGCGUAGAGAUGUGGAGGAAUACCGAUGGCGAAGGCAGCCCCCUGGGAUAAUACUGACGUUCAUGCUCGAAAGCGUGGGUAGCAAACAGGAUUAGAUACCCUGGUAGUNCACGCCCUAAAUGAUGUCAAUUAGCUGUUGGGGCACUUGAUGCCUUAGUAGCGAAGCUAACGCGUGAAAUUGACCGCCUGGGGAGUACGGUCGCAAGAUUAAAACUCAAAGGAAUUGACGGGGACCCGCACAAGCGGUGGAUGAUGUGGAUUAAUUCGAUGCAACGCGAAGAACCUUACCUGGUCUUGACAUGUACGGAAUCUUCCAGAGACGGAAGAGUGCCUUCGGGAGCCGUAACACAGGUGCUGCAUGGCUGUCGUCAGCUCGUGUCGUGAGAUGUUGGGUUAAGUCCCGCAACGAGCGCAACCCUUGUCAUUAGCUGCCACCAUUCAGUUGGGCACUCUAAUGAGACUGCCGGUGACAAACCGGAGGAAGGUGGGGAUGACGUCAAGUCCUCAUGGCCCUUAUGACCAGGGCUUCACACGUCAUACAAUGGUCGGUACAGAGGGUAGCCAAGCCGCGAGGUGGAGCCAAUCUCAGAAAACCGAUCGUAGUCCGGAUUGCACUCUGCAACUCGAGUGCAUGAAGUCGGAAUCGCUAGUAAUCGCAGGUCAGCAUACUGCGGUGAAUACGUUCCCGGGUCUUGUACACACCGCCCGUCACACCAUGGGAGUGGGGGAUACCAGA
RNAcentral lists this ribosomal RNA (801 nucleotides) under uncultured bacterium. RNAcentral's name for it is "bacterial SSU rRNA". It matches the Rfam family "Bacterial small subunit ribosomal RNA", at positions 622 to 1424 of the family's 1533-position model. The record is from RNAcentral.